This 407-nucleotide ribosomal RNA is filed under the name uncultured bacterium. Its description in RNAcentral is "partial 16S ribosomal RNA". It matches the Rfam family "Bacterial small subunit ribosomal RNA", at positions 28 to 526 of the family's 1533-position model. The record is from RNAcentral.
GACGAACGCUGGCGGCGUGCCUAAUACAUGCAAGUAGGACGCAGUUGCGAACGGGCGCGUAACGCGUAGGUAACAGCCUAUUAGAGGGAGAUAACUAUUGGGAACGAUAGGUAAUACCGCAUACUAGUAGAUGGACCUGCGUUGUAUUAGCUAGUAGGUAGGGUAAUGGCCUACCGAGGCGCAGAUACAUAGCCGAACUGAGAGGGUGAGCGGCGAAACUGGGACUUGGACACGGCCCAGAAGCCUAGGGGAAGCAGCAGGAGGGAAUCUUCGGCGAUGGGGGGAACCCUGACCGAGCAACGCCGCGGGAGGGAAGAAGGUUUUCAGGUCGUAAAGAUCUGUUGUUAAGGAAGCGGUACUUAACCAGAAAGGGACGGCUAACUACGUGCCAGCAGCCGCGGUAAUUC